This 205-nucleotide unclassified non-coding RNA is filed under the name Hevea brasiliensis (rubber tree). Lineage: Eukaryota; Viridiplantae; Streptophyta; Magnoliopsida; Malpighiales; Euphorbiaceae. The record is from RNAcentral.
CUUUUAUUAGCGAUUCUCCAAAGCACCGUUCUCUGGUCAGUACUAGCAGCGGAAGCAGAAGCGGCUGCGGCGGUGGAGUUCCCCGUUCGCCUCUAGCUUCAGUAGAGAACUUUGAGAUUCCGCUUAUGUUCAGAACUCCAGUGAAGGUCGAAGAGGAUGUGGUAGUCAUGGACGGUAUUCUGGUUGAGGCGAAACAUGGUCCGAG